Long non-coding RNA from Mytilus trossulus (common blue mussel), 639 nucleotides. RefSeq lists it as uncharacterized. The transcript is spliced from 4 exons. Lineage: Eukaryota; Metazoa; Mollusca; Bivalvia; Mytilida; Mytilidae. The record is from RefSeq and is a predicted model, not a curated record.
UAUGUGUAAAAAAAUUGUGGAAGAGAUUGUAAUUGAGUUAGAAGAGUGGUUGUGACACGAUAACGAUACAUAAUCAUUUUAGUAGUGACGUCCUGUCAAAUUGAUCCUAGCUCUGUAGGAGACUUAACAGCUAUUUAGAGAACGGUCAGAAUCAUUCAGAACAGCGAACAGGAGGACGACCAUGAACAAAAAUAUCUUAGUAAUGAAGAGUUUCUUUUUUAUUUGCUUACUGAUUUCUCUUAUUGGUGAAAGUGCCGAACAAAUAAGUUUCUCAACAGAUUGGGGAAGUGGAAAACGCUCAUUUUUAGAAAGUUACGAAAAUAUCUGCAAAUCAAAGUUGGAACAGUCGUUAAUUUUUGACAUAGCUAGUCUUGUCCAAAGACACGUGGAAAGUUUCAUGGAUUGUAAGAAUGAUAACAGUAAUCUAAAACAUCGGCGAUGACAUCGGGCAAGGAAGUCAGCAGACAUGCAGGAAUUAACACUACCAGAUGCUUCGUUUGUUUUCUAGUCUGAUUUUUAUAUGAAAUCUAAGAAACAUUUUUAACAAUAAUUUUAAAAAGAACAUUGUUCAUAUAUCAGCCACGUCGUUCAUCCUAGUCUAUUGCCAUGUAAAUAAUAAAAUUCUCAACAAAAUAAAAU